Molecule: ribosomal RNA, 500 nt
Filed under: uncultured Glomeromycotina
Lineage: Eukaryota; Fungi; Glomeromycota
Description: partial small subunit ribosomal RNA
Rfam family: Eukaryotic small subunit ribosomal RNA
Source: RNAcentral
CCAAUAGCGUAUAUUAAAGUUGUUGCAGUUAAAAAGCUCGUAGUUGAAUUUCGGGAUCAGUACGCUGGUCGUGCCUUCGGUAUGUACUGGUGUUACUGGUUCCUACCUUCUGACGAACCGUCAUGUCAUUAAUUUGGUGUGGCGGGGAAUCAGGACUGUUACUUUGAAAAAAUUAGAGUGUUUAAAGCAGGCUCGCGCUUGAAUACAUUAGCAUGGAAUAAUGAAAUAGGACGUUCGAUCCUAUUUUGUUGGUUUCUAGGAUUGACGUAAUGAUUAAUAGGUAUAGUUGGGGGCAUUAGUAUUCAAUUGUCAGAGGUGAAAUUCUUGGAUUUAUUGAAGACUAACUACUGCGAAAGCAUUUGCCAAGGAUGUUUUCAUUAAUCAAGAACGAAAGUUAGGGGAUCGAAGACGAUCAGAUACCGUCGUAGUCUUAACCAUAAACUAUGCCGACUAGGGAUCGGAUGAUGUUAAUUUUUUAAUGACUCAUUCGGCGCCUUACG